UACGUAGGGUGCGAGCGUUGUCCGGAAUUACUGGGCGUAAAGAGCUCGUAGGUGGUUUGUCGCGUUGUUCGUGAAAACUCACAGCUUAACUGUGGGCGUGCGGGCGAUACGGGCAGACUGGAGUACUGCAGGGGAGACUGGAAUUCCUGGUGUAGCGGUGGAAUGCGCAGAUAUCAGGGGGAACACCGGUGGCGAAGGCGGGUCUCUGGGCAGUAACUGACGCUGAGGAGCGAAAGCGUGGGGAGCGAACAGG
Molecule: ribosomal RNA, 253 nt
Filed under: uncultured bacterium
Lineage: Bacteria
Description: partial 16S ribosomal RNA
Rfam family: Bacterial small subunit ribosomal RNA
Source: RNAcentral